Long non-coding RNA from Pelmatolapia mariae (spotted tilapia), 550 nucleotides. RefSeq lists it as uncharacterized. The record is from RefSeq and is a predicted model, not a curated record. The transcript is spliced from 3 exons. NCBI's taxonomy places the organism in Eukaryota, Metazoa, Chordata, Actinopteri, Cichliformes, Cichlidae.
AGAAAGGAGGGACAACCAAAGCAAAAACUGCCAUAAUCCUAGAGUUUCUUGAUCAGGAUGCUGAUGCUGACAUUAGGAGGGAGUGUAUACUUAAAUCUCUCAUUAUCUACCUUGGAGAACGUGUUGAGGACUUGAUAAAAGAAUACAUGAUAUCCCAGAAAGAUGAAGCUGAGGAAGAGCUGCAGAGUACCACCAUGGCACUCUUCGUCUUCAGGGACAACUCAAGCCUCCUACAUCAGCCUCGAGACAUCGGGAUAAUCAUUGAUGGUGUGGAAGUCCUGAAUGAGUUGCCUUCUGUGGCAGCUGGAGUGGCAAUGGUCUUUGGACUCUGUUAUGCUCUUAAUAUGGAAUAUCCACGAGGAUUCAGGUUCACCUUUGAGGCUCUUCAAAAGAUUAUGAUGGAGCUUGACUUUAACAAGAUGACCUCUAAGAUUCGCAAACUUAAUUGUGAACUUAACACUGCACAGUAGUGUGUUUGCAUGCAUGUGUGCAUGUGUAUGUGCACAUGCAUGUGCAUGUGUGCUUGGUUAUUUUGCUUGGUUGGCCUGCA